This 30114-nucleotide long non-coding RNA is filed under the name Triticum aestivum (bread wheat). RNAcentral describes it as "long non-coding RNA (TAES_LNC013086)". Lineage: Eukaryota; Viridiplantae; Streptophyta; Magnoliopsida; Poales; Poaceae. The record is from RNAcentral.
UAAGUACCAUUCUCUAUCACCUCAGAGUUCUCAUAACUCUCUUGUUCUGAAAAACAACAUAAGUGCAGUUGAGUACGUAUAAAAUACGUACUCCGCAAGUCGCCGGGAUAAGUGGAUGCAAGAGUCUUUAAAGAGGAAUAACUUUACCGGCCACGGCUACAACCACCGAGCCAUUAGCUCAAAAUACUUUGUAGGUAAAAAUAUUUUCCCUUAACCCUUUUUGUUGAAAACCAAAUUUUAUUUAUAAAAUCUACUGGCGACAGAGCGACGUGGGAUCUUACAUCCUCUGUUAGAGGAAAACCCACACGACGCACUUCCAAACCCGGAAACUGGGAGUGAUAUCACAUUUACUCUGAUCAGAGGUGUACUGAUUUACCCAUAGCAUCACUUGGUCCAAGUCGUCCAUGCGCUACUCGUGCACAUGACUAGACCAAGGAACCAGAACCUUUAACCAGCCCGUACACUACCUCUGCUUUUCCACCUUGCCUUACUAAAGGCCCGUAGGUCGAGACACCUGACCGGCGGUCCCGCCCUAGGGUGACUGUACCUACCCGGCUACAGCCACCUUCUCACCCAUGCAGAGGCAGCUACUUGGCAUGGGUAGUUGGUUCAGCCCGUCCCAUUCCAGGUCUAUGGUCAGUAUGGUUUGCGCCGCUUUUGAAGUAAGCGCCAGUUGGUUGUGUCCUAAUGUGAUACCCUAUGUAGAGGAGCCCGCCAUCCAAGCCGACCAUCCCUGGGUUGCUUUCACCAACAUGAGCUCCCCUACCCCAUGAAAUAUUUAUUUAUAUUGUAACCCUACCCGGGUCACAACUACUUAAUACAGAUGCUUCACCUGAUCUGGUCCAAUUGCCAAAUCAGUGGAUCCACCUGAUCCAAAUUUCAUUUUAUUUAUGAAAAAUAUUUAUUUUAAAAUCUUAUGCAAAAUUUUGGAAAUGACCCAUAGCCCAGAAAACAUUUAUCAAGACAUGGUCAAGGAGAUGACGACUUGCCGGAUAGUGCUUCGACCAACUCGGAACCACCGGGCGUGGCUCCUACGGAUCCGAGAUCAGCUCCUGAUAAUUAUUUCACAACCAUGUUUAUAUUUCCUAAUUUAAAAUCUAAAGAUCCAGCAACACGGCCAUGUUGGGCAAGCCAUAAUUAAUUAACUAGGUUGUGAUACGUCCUAGUGUUUCAUUGAGAGAUAAAAUGCAUCAAACCAUCCAAAUCAGAGUAGCAUGCACGUAUGCCAUCCAGUCUAGAGAGUAAAAAAAUGAUAAGUAAAAAGGAAACAGUAGCCUGCACUACUAGUACUUUACUCGUUGAACCCAGCUCGUUCCUCUCCUCGUCUUCUCUGCUAUCCCAAGAACAGAACCAGCCACCCACCUCUCUCUCUCUCCCCAAGAACAGAGCAUGGCCGCCGCCGCCUCGAUCUGCCCCGUCCGGGCAUCUCCGGCGACACGGUGGACACCUACAGAUUCUCCUCGUCUCCCUCUAUCAUUUCCCCCUAUUUCUUUUAUCCGCCGCCGCCAAAAACGUCGCCACCACUCAAUCCUAGCGCCGCCUGAUUCAGGUCCGGUGGGCUUGCCUCCGGCUGCAGCGGCAACGAUGUCUCCAUGCCUACAUCCUCCCCCAGCGCAGCCACACACACGAGGCGUGCAGCCACGGGCGUCGGGCGUGUGCGGCUUCACCGGCGUUGCUCGGUCGCAUGGCUCUGCUGCUAAUGGUGUGGACUAGCCACAUCAUAUUGCUACUACUGGUAAGUACUAAUUCUGAUUCCUUCUGCAUAAGUGUUCCAAAUUUCACAUCGAGUGCCUGCUAGAUGUCAACGUGGGUGUGCAUAUAGUGUUCAUUUUAUCUCAGGCCCUACUAUUGCCCACUCAGCCGUAUUGCCUUCUUUCUCUUUGUUUAUCUCAAGGCCAUGAGAUUAAUCAAGAUUUAAUCUAUGGCGUGGUCAUGGUAUUGCUACUGAUUAGAUCUAAAUGAUGUUCCUAACUAGUGCUACUCAUCCUUGAACACCAUAUAGAAGCAAAUAGUGGCAGUGAAACUCCAAAAUUAAUUACUUGUGAGUAGAUUAUAAACAUCAAUCACUCAAUUUUUGCUACAUAUUGGCAGGGAUUAAUAAUUAGAACAAGGUAGUAUACACAGGAAGAUUGAUCUUUUGGAUACACACAUACAUGUCUUAGCAAGUUACUAGUACUUAGGAUUUGAUUCUUGGCAUGUUAGAUCUAGUACAAGCCAUAGAUGUCAUUCACAGAAACUUUUACAAGCUUUUGCAAUUGAUCUAAUUAGUUUUGAUUAACUUGGGUGUUUACGCAAACAUUUUGUUCUUUUUACAGCAAGAUAAAUAGAUCAAGGUGAAUAGAUGCUCAUGGACUGAUUCAAACCGAGGUGAAGAUAGACAAGACGUCAAGCAAGAAGGGCUAACACAACAAGGUACUUGAUUAGUACCUGAUGGCGCAUGCGACCCAAAGGGCUUCACCGCAGUGAAGGACAACAGUGUGGCAGAAGGUGAAAAGGCAAGUGGUGGUGGUACUCCAUUGUAUAUGUGUGUGUGAGGUGGAAUGGACCACAGUGAAAGGAAUGGCUCCUAUUUAUAGUGGGCUUAGUAGCUAUGUCGGUUUGGAGAGGCAUUACAUCUGGCAUGCAUGCGUGGUUAGGCUUGCAUGCAUGCCUCCACUUGUGUCUCUUGUAGGCUGUACUAGGGACAAGUGUAAUUUGCUUGACUGGCCAUUAGUUGGCAUUUACUUUAUGUGAAAAAAAAAUGAGACCAAGAUCUGAUUAUAAAUUUGUAGAAUACAUGGAGGUUUGGAAAAUAUUUUGUUGUGCAUCGUCAAAUGCUAUUUGCUAUAAUAAAAAUUAAAUGUCAGGUGUUUCCAUUAUUUUUAAUUAAUGUUUGGGCAACGCGGUUGAAAUUAUUUUUAUCUAAUUUUGACGGUUCUUACAUCCUAUCCCCCUUAGAGAAAAUUUCUUCCUCGAAAUUUGUUAAGUCGCACCUCGAAAAGGUUAGUGUUGAGGAUAUAGACCUUAGAGUCACCCGCCAGGAGGGGCCGGGUUACUCGUAUGGUCGUUGCCAGAAGACCGGAGCCAAGCUUGAAGACGAUGGGCCAGAGAUGGGCUAAGACCCGGAUACGGCUUAAGGCCCAUAGUUAUAAUCAUUAUUAUGGUAGAACUUGUAGUGUAAGGCAAGUAUGAUUGAGAGUCCGAGCCGGAAACUCUUAUGAGCCGGCCGGGACUCUAAGGGCUGCUGGGCGUCAGCCUCCCUAUAUAAGGGGACGACCCGGCAGCGUUUUAGGGACAAGAACAAUCUCAUCGAGAGCCGGGCAUAGCAGUUUAGCUCCCUGGUGAUCGUAACCCUAAUCAAUACCACCUCAAACUGGACGUAGGCUUUUACCUUCACCGUAAGGGGCCGAACCAGUAUAAACCCUCGUGUUCCUUGUCCCGCAUUAACCCCUUCAAGCUUCCUAGUUGCGAUGGCUCCACGACUAAGUCCUAGCUCGAGGACAUCUGCCGUGACAAUUCCACGACAGUUGGCGCCCACCGUGGGGCCAGCGCACGGUGGAUUUGAGUUCUUGAAGGGCAGCUUCGAAGGGCUCAAGGGAUACGCUGUGGGCCGGAUGACCAAGAGUCGUCGCGGCAAGCUCUACAUCGACGAUGCAAACUGGGGCCCCGACGCCGGCUCAAUUGAGUACGGGUACCGGGUCCCCUUCGGCGGAAUUCACGUUUUCAUUGGCAAGAUUGGUGAGCCGAGCCCGGAGCCGGGUCUCUGCGCUGAUCUCAUCGAGACGGCUCAGCUUGCGCGACCCGCCCGGGCCCGGCCUGCCUGAAGGCAUGCUUUUGUGGGGUGUAUCCAUGGAGGACUCUCCGAUCGAUCUAGAUCUGGUGAUGAGACGGCCGCCGGCUCUGACGGCGAGUCGGCCACCGAUGAGUCAAACUCGUUGUACCAACUUCAAGAUGGCAGGCUCAUGGGUUGUUCCGAUGGUGACAGUAUUCCGGACCUAUUUGAGCCGCCAAGUCAGGUUGGAGUUUUUAUGGCUGGUGCGCAGCCUGUUCAGAACCCCGCUGCUGGAGCGGGAAACCCAGUGCCUUCUCCGGCUCAGGUGCUAAUGGAUCUCACGGACAAGAUGACGGCCCUGUUAACCACCACGGUUGACCCGGCGGAUCAAGCUCGGCACGAUGCGGAGGUGGCACAGUUAAAAUUGGAUCUAGUGAAGGCUAAAGAGGAUCUUGCAGCGGAAGGGAUCAGGCUGGCUGCAGAGAGGGCGGCUCUCGAUGCCCAAACUCAGCUGAUCCAGGCGCAGUCCUUCCAACUCACGAUGGAUCAAAACGCGGCCAAUGAGGUCCUGAGAAGGAGGCAUCAAAAGGCCCAAUCUCGACUCCCUCCGGUUUACGAUCCACGCAACCUCUUCAACACGCCAGGUGCAGGGUCUAGUAACCCGCCGGGGGUCAUAGCGCCCGGGUCUGGACCCCUUAUUCAGCCACGAGUGAUGGGGCCUCCCCAGGUGCCCCCUGCCCCGCCUCAGUAUGUGCCAAUACCCCCGGGUCAUUAUAAUAACCCGCUGGAGAACAUGGUCGCUGCGGCAGCACGGCUGGCGGCUCUACCAGUUGACGGCGACUCUCCGACGGCUAUUGAGACCCGCCGGGUCAGGGAACUCCUUCAGACAGCACUGGCGCAGCAAGAGCCAUACUCCUACAGCCGGGACAGGAUCCACUCGACCCCUCGUCCAGGCCAGAGCCCGAGUUACAGCCGGCACAUGGUCUCAGCAACCGGCUCAAGUAACGUCCGACGCCAUGACCCGCCCCCUGGCCAUGGCCCGGCUCAUAGUGGAGCCUUUUACGCAGCAGACCAAGCGCGGCAAGAGGUGGAGCAAGUACCUCAGUUGACGGCUUACCAGAGCCCCCCCCCGGCUUAUCCGAGGACUUCCAUUGAUGUGGGUAUCCCUACCAGGACCGGGGGUGUCCCUUGUUUAGUGCCAGCUAUCCGUAAUGAACGUCUACCUAAGGAAUUCAAGGGCCCUAGGAAGGUGCCUAACUACACAGCUGACUUACAACCCGCAGCCUGGAUCGAGAGUUAUGAGAUGGCUAUGGAGCUACUGGAGGUCAGUGAGGCGGCCAUGGCCAAGUAUUUCACCAUGAUGUUAGAUGGGACUGCCCAUACUUGGUUGAAAGGGCUACCACCGAAUUCCAUUGGGUCUUGGGCUGAGCUGAAAGCCCGGUUCAUCCAAAACUUCAAAGAUACCUGUAGGCAGUCUAUGUCAAUUGUGGAUUUGACUAACUGUAAGCAGCAGGAGGGUGAGUCCACGACACAUUGGGUUCGCCGGGUUAAGGAGAUCAUACACUCGUCAGACAAGAUGGAUGCCGGCUCAGCGGUUUUAAUGCUGGAGCAAAAUUGUCGUUUUGUGCCCCUGAAGAUGAAACUCGGGCGGCUUAAGCGCGACUGCAGUGAUAUGGGUACACUAAUGGCAGCUCUUGUCAAGUACGCCGAUUCUGAUGGUACCAAGGAUCCCCCUUCAGAUGAUGAAAGGACAGGGAAGGGAAAGAAGAACGGCAAUGGCAAGGGUCCUCAGUUUAAGCCGGGGAACCAAGGAGGAGGCAAGCGCAAGGCAGAUGGCAGCCUAGAAUUUGUGGCCAACGCCAGCGCACAAGGCAACAACCAGCGACGCAAGGGGAGGCCCCCUCCCCGAGGCGGCGGGUCAGGACCUUCACUGGAGCAGCUGUUGAAUGAGCCUUGUCCGAGGCACGGCUCUAGAGAGAAGCCAGCGACUCAUCUGUGGAAGGAUUGUGCAAUCAUGAAGGCCUUUAAAAACUACAAUGGCCCGGGCGGUGGCUCAGGUGCCGGCGGCUCAGGCGCCGGCGGUUUUCAUGGCCCGGGGGGCGGCUCAAAUUCUGGUCCUCAGAACGGUGAAGGGGGCUUUAAUCAACAGUCUGGCCAGGGUCAUCAACAGCACCAGGGGGGUUAUCAGACCAAUCCAAAGCAGCUCAGCGGUGGACAGUAUCAUGUGUUUACCACUAGUUUGUGCAAGCGGGAUCAGAAGCUUCACAAGAGGGCUGUGAAUGCUGUUGAGCCGGCAGUCCAACGCUACUUACGGUGGUCUGAACAGCCUAUAGUGUGGAGUAGGGAGGAUCACCCUCCCCGGGUGGAUAACCCGGGCCACUUGGCCUUAGUGGUGGCUCCUCAAGUGGGAGGAUAUAAGUUCACAAAGGUGCUCAUGGAUGAAGGCAGCAGCAUCAACAUCCUCUAUUAUGAGACUUUUCGCCGUAUGGGGUUGUUGGAUAAGAACCUCAGCCAGUCAAACACUAUCUUCCAUGGUGUGGUACCUGGUAAGUCGGCUUAUCCAGUCGGCAAGAUCGAAUUGGAAGUGGCUUUUGGUGAUGAGAACAACUACAGGGUGGAGAAAUUGACCUUUGAGGUGGUCAAGAUAAGAAGUCCAUACCAUGCUAUAUUUGGACGGCCGGCUUACGCCAAAUUCAUGGCACGGCCGUGUUAUGUGUACUUACAGCUCAAGAUGCCGGGUCACAUUGGGACCAUUACGGUUCACGGCAGCCGGAAAGUGGCUCUGGAGUGUGAGGAAGGCGAUGCGGCUUAUGCAGAAUCUGUUUGUGCUACAGAAGAGUGGAAGUUUUAUAAGGACAAUGUUGACCCAACAGAUAUGACCUCUCUGAAGAAGCCGACCACGGAGAAUGAGCCGGCGAUGAAAUUUAAGUCGGCUGAUGAAACAAAGCUUGUUGAUUUUGUUCCAGGAGAUUCAUCUCAGCAGUUUAGCAUCAGUGCCAACCUGGAUCCAAAAUAGGAAAGCGCGCUCAUCGAGUUCAUCCGUGAGAAUAGGGACAUCUUCGCAUGGAAACCCUCUGACAUGCCAGGUGUACCUAGAGAACUCGCUGAGCAUACUCUCAAUGUUGAUCCUAAAUUUAAGCCGGUCAGACAGUUCCUUCGGCGGUUUAAUGAAGAGAGGCGGAAAGCUAUUGGUGAAGAGGUGGCCCGGCUCUUGGCGGCCGGGUUUAUCGUUGAAGUCUUUCACCCAGAGUGGUUGGCUAACCCGAUGCUCGUACUCAAGAAGAACGGCACCUGGCGGAUGUGUGUGGACUACACGGACUUGAACAAGGCGUGUCCGGCUGAUCCUUUUGCCCUCCCCCGUAUUGAUCAAAUCAUUGAUGCUACGGCAGGUUGUGCACUUUUAAGUUUCUUGGAUGCUUAUUCCGGUUAUCAUCAGAUUAAGAUGGCAGUUAAGGACCAGGAGAAGACGGCGUUCAUCACUCCCUUCGGAGCCUUCUGCUAUGUGUCUAUGCCCUUUGGACUCAAGUGUGCACAGGCGACUUACCAGCGUUGUGUACAGAACUGUCUUCAUAAACAGAUUGGGCGUAAUGUUCACACUUACGUGGACGAUAUUGUGGUUAAAUCCAUAAAAGAGGAAACCCUGAUAGAUGAUUUAAGGGAAACCUUUGAUAAUCUCCGGGUCUAUAAGAUGAUGCUUAACCCGGCCAAGUGUGUUUUUGGUGUUCCUGCAGGCAAAAUCUUGGGCUUCUUGGUUUCUGACAGAGGCAUUGAGGCUAACCCGGAGAAGAUCAAGGCCAUCACCUCCCUGGCUAAGCCGGCGUGUAUAAAUGACGUUCAGCGCUUGGCGGGUCGCAUCGCUGCUUUAAGCCGGUUUAUAAGCCGUUUGGGUGAGAAGGCCAUGCCCCUAUAUCAGUUGAUAAAGAAAACUGAUAACUUCGUCUGGAAUGAUGCAGCUAAUACCGCUUUUGAGGAUUUGAAGAAGCAGCUGGCAGAGCCCCCAGUCCUUGCUGCUCCGGUUGACAAGGAGCCCUUACUACUAUACGUGGCGGCAAACGCACGAGCCGUCAGUGUGGCUAUUGUGGUGGAGCGCAAGGAGGAGGGUAAGGAGCAUCCGGUUCAGCGGCCGGUUUAUUAUGUCAGCGAAGUGCUCAUUGAGUCCAAGCAGCGGUACCCGCAUUGGCAGAAGCUGGUGUAUGGUGUGUUCAUGGCGAGCCGGAAAUUUAAGCAUUAUUUUCAGGGUCAUCCCAUCACUGUGGUCAGUUCUGCCCCUCUUGGUGAUAUCAUUCAAAACUGAGAGGCCACAGGGAGAAUUGCUAAGUGGGCUAUAGAACUUGGACCUCAUGGUCUCAAAUAUGACCCACGCACUGCUGUAAGUCUCAGGCCUUGGUGGAUUUCAUCAAUGAUUGGACAGAGUCACAAGUGCCCGAGCAAAAGCCGGAUAACACAUAUUGGACUAUUCACUUCGAUGGGUCCAGGCAGUUGGAGGGCUCGGGGGCUGGUGCUGUACUGGCUUCCCCUAAAGGCGACAAGUUCCAUUAUGUGCUACAGUUGAUGUUUCCUUGCACUAACAAUGCGGCUGAGUACGAGGCCUUGCUCCACGGUCUUCGGAUGGCUAAGGAGAUGAGCUUGAGCCGGGUAAGGUGCUUUGGUGACUCAGACUUGGUGGCUCAACAAGUAUCAGGCAAGUGGGAUUCCAAAGAUCCUCUCAUGGCGGCUUAUCGCCGCGAGGUUGAUGCAAUUGCUGGGCACUUUCAGGGCUACCAAGUAGAGCACAUUGAUCGCAGGAAGAACGAGGCGGCUGAUGCUCUAAGCCGGCUAGGCUCUCAGCGAAAGCCGGUCCGCCUAACACUUUCCUGGACGUCCUGUAUAACCCUUCGGUUAAGUUGCCUACAGAGGAAGACUUGGCUGUCCCUGACCCGGAGGCACGAUUGGUGGCGGCUCUUCAUGUCAUACCAGACUGGACGAUGCCAUAUCUGGCUUAUAUGACCCGGGGCGAGUUGCCUGAGGAUGAAACUUUGGCCAGGCAAAUAACCCGGCGGGCUAAGUCAAUGAUCGUUAUCGAUGGCGAAUUGCAUCAUCGCAGUGUCACGGGAGCAUUUCAGCAUUGUGUCUCCCCUGAGGAGGGUCAAGAGAUCUUGCGUGAGAUCCAUGAAGGGGAUUGUGGCCAUCAUGCCGGCUCAAAGUCCCUUGUGGCCAAGGCUUUCUGUCAUGGUUUUUAUUGGCUGACGGCUCAUGCUGAUGCAGAGGACUUGGUCAGCAAAUGUGAUGGUUGCCAGAGGUUUUCACGACAGGCUCACGUGCCGGCUCAGGAGCUGAGGAUGAUCCCAAUCACUUGGCCCUUUGCGGUCUGGGGGCUUGAUAUGGUUGGGCCUUUUAAAAGGUCCAAGGAUAAGAAGACCCACCUCUUGGUGGCAGUGGACAAAUUCAUAAAGUGGGUGGAAGCUGAGCCAGUUAGCAAGUGCGAUGCAGCCACGGCGGUUCAAUUUAUGGAAAAGGUUAUUUUCCGCUUUGGCUUUCCGCACAGCAUCAUAACUGACAAUGGCACCAAUCUCUCCAAAGGCGCCAUGGAAGAGUUUUGUCAACGAGAGCAUAUCCGACUUGAUGUUUCCUCAGUGGCUCAUCCUCAAUCCAAUGGUCAAGCUGAGAGAGCUAACCAGGAGAUUCUGAAGGGCAUCAAGCCCCGGCUUUUGGUCCCUUGGCAACGGACGCCGGGUUGUUGGGUGGAGGAGUUGCCCUCCGUCUUAUGGAGCAUCAACACUACUCCUAACAGGUCUACAGGCUUCACGCCUUUCUUCAUGGUUUAUGGAGCAGAAGCAGUCCUCCCCAGUGACAUCCGUCACGACUCACCUCCCGUAGCGGCUUAUGUUGAGACGGAUAAUGAACAGGCGCGCCAAGAUGCUCUUGACUUGUUGGACGAACAGCGUGAUGUGGCAGCAGCCCGUUCAGCAAUUUACAAACAAGACCUGCGUCGUUAUCAUAGCGGCCGGGUCAAAUCCCGGGUCUUCCAGGAAGGCGACCUUGUGCUCCGGCUCAUCCAGGAUCAAACAGAUGCACACAAGUUAUCCCCGCCUUGAGAAGGGCCCUUUGUGGUCAGCAAGAACUUGCACAACGGGUCAUAUUACCUCAUUGACAUUCGAGAGCACAAAGAUUCACGUAAAUCGGAGGAGGAGACCCGUCGGCCGUGGAACAUAGCUCAGCUUCGGCCUUACUACACUUGAUCCACCGGCUCUCGUGGUGUACAUACUUCUCUCAGCCAUGUAUAUAUUAUGAUAAGCAAUAAAGCAGGACCUCUGUCCUUUUUUCUCCUCCAAAUAUACACGUGUUGUUCUUAUUGCAAGAUUACAUGAUGAUUUCAAGGAGGAUCCGGCUUAUGAUCGUAUUCGAAUUUAGCCGUAAGCAGUAAAGUCACUUGGGGGCUUCCUGUUCAAACAUGGGUCUUAUUCGAACCAAAGAGAACAUAGCUGUCGAUACCCAUUUGAUUGGCAAAGUGUCGAGCUCAUUGGGAAGUUACCUUUGGUCAUAUUUGAAUCAUAGUUUAACCCCUCUGAGAACCGACGUGGAUCGUAUUCGAAUCAGCGUCGUUAAACAAUUCUUGAAAUCACUUGGGGGCUUCCUGUUCAAACAUGGGUCGUAUUCGAACCAAAGAGAACAUAGCUGUCGGUACCCUCUUGAUUGGCAUCGCCACACCCACUGGGGGCUAUGUGAUCGUAUCCGAAUCUUAGCUUAACCCCUUUGGGCCGGGUAUCUGGUCGUAUUCGAACCGGAAGCUCCUAAGUUCUUAUGUUUUAUCACAAGUUUACUCUGAUUAUGUCAAGGUGUGUACGGCCGGGUCUCACUUUGCCGGCUUAACUUUGGUUUACCAUGUUAGUUGACCGCCAUGGGUGUCAUUACGACAGGUAAAUCGGAGUUAAGAUACCAACCUUGUUCCCGGGUUAUUUAAACCGGAAGUAUGUUUACAGGCCGCUAAGUGUGUUAUUACGGCUGUGUUAAGGAGAUAAUUGAGGACCAGUCUCUUUUGAUUCAUAUUCCGGGUUAUCUAUCCAAAACACCUGAUUCUCAGGGCGGUAAGCCGCCUUGAGACUUGUGAUUUGCCUUUCUAUGCAGGAUACUUAAAGGUACCUCUUUGAGGUUGAGAAAAACAAAGGGAUGAUUAUGACCCGGAGAAACAUUAAAGAGACAACUUCAAAAGACCUUGGCAUUCAAUACGUGCACGAUGGCACGGCAGAGAUAGACUGUUGCACCUACUUUAUUACAACACUCAUCAAAUCUAACAAGGGUGGAGCAUUGUUUGGUAAACCGACAACCGAGUUACGAUGCCCGCUGAGUGGAAGUCUCCGGCUCGUUCCUGUCCUCUCCUCCAGCUGAUCCCAAGACUUGGAAGGUUGAUGACUUCCAGUCGAUGCCGCUGAGAGCCUUGAACUGGGCUUCCUCGUCAAUUAACCCGGCCGGGUCAAUCUCCGGGGCGAAGGUGUGCUGACGAGCCGGCGGGAUCAGGUUGAGGGCUUCAUAGCGAGGGGUUGGAAUCCUCUGAUUCUCCGCGUCAUAACCCGGCUGGUACUUGGUCAGAUCUGUGUCAUUCCCGAUGAGGGUGCCACCGGGCGUACAGCCUUCACGCACGCCGCGAAGUCCUUCUGAUCGAAAGCUGAGCCGUCUUCCUUCAGGCUUGGAUAACCCAGGGCGAUGUCUGCCGGGUCUAGCUCCGGCAGGAAUGCCUUGGCCCGGCUCAGCGCGGCGAUUGCUCCGGCUCUCGCGGAGGCCCGUCGCAGCUCUUGGAUCCGUUGAGGCAGAACGGCGAGCCGGCGCAGGACUUAGGCCAGAUGAGUUGGCACCUCGUUGGAUAGGGCCACCACAGCUAAGGCACGUUGUGACCCGGUGUAGAGCUGUUCCACCAGGGUAUACACGGCCUUUAGCUUGGUGACCACACUCUGGUUGAGGUUGGCACUUCUGGGGCCUGUUUAACAGAAUCAGAUAAGCCGGCGGCAAGGAUGAAUACUGAGAUAUAAACAUUCUGACAUUGAUGAAAGUCGGUGAGGCGACUUACCGAAGAUGGCGACCACCAUUUGGGAAACCUGGCGCUUUAGGCCGGAGAGCUCGGCGGUCUUCUCAGAGAGAGCCUUCUCCGCCUGUUCCGCCCGGGUCACCAGUGUGGCCUUCUCUUCGGCCCAGGCUUUUCUCUCAGCAUCAAAGUCGGUCUUCAACUUUUCUUGAGUGGCGAUGCUGGAUACAAACUUGAGCGGCCUUCAAUUUUUGCUCACAGCUUGUAUAAAUUUACGGGUUAUUAACAGUUAUUAUAUAAGUCCCAAGUGUUUUCCAGGCAAAGACACUUGGCAGUUGGGGGCUAAUGCAUAUUGAAUGUAUCUAUCUACAUACUGCCGGCUCAAUUGAGUAAGCCGGAACCUAAGUCUACAACAUAUUCAAUCAUAAGUCGUCGACUUGGGGGCUAGCAUGGCAAAGGUAACUAUGCAGUAAGUAAGAAGACAGCAGAAGGAUACCUCAGAUUUUUGUUGGAUCUGGUUUACCAUGGCGACCUCUGCAUCCCGGCUCUUGUGCACCUGGCUGAUGUAGCCAGAGACAAGCUCUCCAAUGCUCAAGUUGGUGUAGUCGGAGAGGCCCAGGUUCACCCGGUGGGGCUGCAGCAACUCCCCCUUCGCGGAGCAUUUGGCAGCACGGUCGGUCUCCCCGGCUCAACGAACUCUGUCCGGGUGAUUACCACGUCCGGGUCGUCUGCUAGCGGAGCUGAGCCGGAGGCCUCCGGGUUAACCGAAGCUUCGGUCGUUGCCUUGGUAGUUGGGGCAGUGGCUUCAGGUGCCGUGUCCAUUGGAGUGGUGGCUUCGGGGGCAGAGGCAGCUGGCGGCUCUUGAGCCGUCACCUCCGGUUCAGGUAAGUCCGGCACUCCGGCUGACCUGGUCUUCUUCGCUCUUUUGGUGAGCUUUGCCUGGGCGCUGAAAGGACAGAAACAUUGAGCACAAAGAGAGUAUGUACAGACAAGUAUAAUGUGAGAUGGUUGUCAUUACCCGGGCGCGGUCUUGAAAGUCGGAAGACUCGACUGCAUAGAGUCUCCCGAAGAAGGGGAGGUCUCCUGAUAAUUGGAGUCAGAAGAAUUGAGUGGCUGACGGAUAACACCCGCCAACGGAUGAAAAGGGUACAAGUGAGAAAAAACCUCAGUUCGACGCUUCCUUGUUGCGUCGGGUAACCCGGCGGAAAGAUCGGUGUCCUUGUUGGUCCGGGUGUGACGCCGGCUUUCAUGAACCUGUCGCUUCAAAAUAAAUUGAGGGUCUUGGUGAGCUAAAGGAUGUGAAAAGCUUACUUUCCGGGUUACCCUUCGGACUUUCAGCUGUGGCAAGGGCUCUGAGUCGGAGGAAAGUGACAUUACCUCUUCAACCACCGGGUUACUUGCGCCGGUGUCAUCCUGUCAAUGAGCAAGUAUUGAUAAGGCGGACAACAACAAACAGUGAAUAUAGUAAGGAUUUAAAUACUCAGGAGUUACCUCUGACUCGGAGCUGUCGCUUAAUUGCAUCAGCUCCGAAGCAGUAGGCCUGCUUCCUUUUUUGCGAGGGGCGGCUUUCUUGGCGGCUUUCUUCGCCUUCCUGGCUUUCUUGGCCGCCUCAUGGUCAUAUUUGACCCGCCAGAACUUAUCAUCAGCCUGGAAAAUACAAUGAUGGAUUCUUAAAACGGUUCAGAUGAAGGUUAUAUGCAGACGAAGAUAAAAGUUAAAGUCAGCGGCUUACCGCUGGGGCUGGAUUGGUCUUGCAGAACGGGGCUAACCCGGUCCUUCCGCAGUCUGCCAGGCUCUCGUUUAAAAGAGCCUUGGUCUCCUCCUCUGCAACGUCUUCUGGAAGAUCAUUGCGACUGUGCCUCUGAGGGUCAUCCUUUCGCCCGGUGUAUUCACACAUUAAGCCGGGGCGGCAGCUCAAUGGGAUCACCCGCCAUGAGAUCCAGACCCGGACCAGGUCGAUUCCGUUCAAACCGUUGCCCAGGAGGGCCUUGAUUUUAUUGAUAGUAGGAAGAAGAGGCUGGCGCUCCGCUGGAGUCAGCUUGUCCGACAGUGGGUGAGUCGGCUCUAGACGUGUUGGGCGAAAGCCGGGCAGCGGGCUUUCGUCAGCCGGGGACGUAUCUUGGCAGUAGAACCAAGUCAUGUUCCAGUCCUUGGGGUGGCUCGGUGGCUCUGCAUAAGGGAACAGACAGUCCCUACGCCGCUGGAUGGAAAUGCCACGUAGCUCCAGACUUGGCCCGUUGGCGCACUCAUUCUGGCGGUUUAAGUAAAAAAGCUCUCUGAAGAGCAGCAGACUAGGUUCUUCUCCUAGGUAAACCUCGCAGAAGACUUGAAAAUUGCAGAUGUUGGAUACGGAGUUGGGUCCUAUAUCUUGAGGCUCCAAGUCGAAGAAGUUGAGCACGUCCCUGAAAAACUUUGAGCCGGGCGGUGCAAAGCCCCGGCUCAUAUGAUCUGCGAAAAUCACUACCUCCCCAUCCUUUGGCUGUGGUCUCUCUUCUGACGGGUCAGGGGCACGGUAGGACAUGAUUUCCUUCUUAGGCAAAUAUCCGGACUUAACAAAAUUGGCUAGGGUCUCGUUGGUGACGUUGGACCUCAUCCAGUUGCAAGUGAUGGGAGCCUUGGGAGGCAUGGUGAAAGUUGGUGGUCUAUGACAAAAAGGAAAAAUGUCCGGGUUAAUUAUAAGCCGGAGAUCUACAGUUCAAAACUACGGUGGCGGCUUAUGAAGGGGACUAAUGGUAUAUACUCAAAUACAUUGGGUUAUUCAAGCCGGAGGAUUCUACGACGCAUGGUUUCCUUUAAGCCGGAAGAUUCUACGUCGCGUGGUUUCUUUAAACCGGAAUUGUAAGCGGCCAAGAUUCAAUGGUUGCAGUUUUUACUAAGUGUGGUAAAACAGGUUUCACAUAUUGCAGUAACUUUUUUGGAUCAAAAUGGUCGGGCAAAAGAAAAAAUUUCUAGACCUAGAAACAGUAGUGAGGGAGUUCCUGGGUUCAAACAGAGUUCUUAUGCAGUUCAAGGAAGGCUACUUGCGUGUGAAAUGGAUCUUAAACAACCACCGCACUAGUUCUAUGCAGAACUAACAUCAAGCAGGAGCAGUAACUAGGAGAACUACCGAACUUGCGGGCAAUGGUGACGAACACGAAGAACGUGGAUGAACUCUACUGCAGAUCUACUCUACGGGGUGGUGAGAACUUUCCGAAGCUGAAGAGGUGCGGGAGUCGCCGCCGUUUAUCUGGUUCGAGUCAAGGUGAUGCAGCGGCCGAGGUUGACGAAGACCGGAGGCGAGACGACGGCGGCGGAGUGCGAACUCAGUGAGAAAGGCAGCGGCGCGAGGAGGAAGAAGGGAGCGUGAGAAGAGCCCGUCGGGCCGGCCUAUUUAUAAGGCAAGGUCAUAAGUGGGCGCGAGAUUCAAGGAGACCACGGCAUGGUUAUCUCCCCCCACGACGCCUCGAUUUUCGGAAUGAUAGUAAAAGCAAAGAUCCGUUGCGGACCUGGCGGAGUAAAAAAUGGACUUAAUGGAGGAUGACAUCACGGCGGAUUAUCCGGAGUCCAGAGGAUGACGUCACUCCGGGUUAUGGCCUUCACAUGAAUGGUAAGCCGGAGAUUUUUUCUGUCAGAAGAGUUGAAGAUUGACAUGAGCCGGCUCAAAUCAAUCUGGGGCCUAAUGUUGAGGAUAUAGACCUUAGAGUCACUCGUCAGGAGGGGCCGGGUUACUCGUAUGGUCGUUGCCAGAAGCCCGGAGCCAAGCUUGAAGAUGAUGGGUCAGAGAUGGGCUAAGACCCGGAUACGGCUUAAGGCCCAUAGUUAUAAUCAUUAUUAUGGUAGAACUUGUAGUGUAAGGCAAGUAUGAUUGAGAGUCCGAGCCGGAAACUCUUAUGAGCCGGCCGGGACUCUAAGGGCUGCUGGGCGUCAGCCUCCCUAUAUAAGGGGACGACCCGGCAGCGGUUUAGGGACAAGAACAAUCUCAUCGAGAGCCGGGCAUAGCAGUUUAGCUCCCUGGUGAUCGUAACCCUAAUCCAUACCACCUCAAACUGGACGUAGGCUUUUACCUUCACCGUAAGGGGCCGAACCAGUAUAAACCCUCGUAUUCCUUGUCCCGCAUUAACCCCUUCAAGCUUCCUAGUUGCAAUGGCUUCACGACUAAGUCCUAGCUCGAGGACAUCUGCCGUGACAAUUCCACGACAGUUAGGAUAUUUUUCUCGGAGGUCAUCUUCUUUUUCCCAAGUCGCUUCUCGCACCGGAUGAUUUCCCCAUUGCACCUUGCAAUAUUUAGGUGUUUUACUCCUAAGUUUCUUUUCCUCGGUGUCCAGAAUACGACUAGGAUGCUCCUCAUACGUUAGGUCCUUUCGGAGGGUUAAUUCUUCCUCCGAGACUCUCUCAAAUGGUGGCUUUACGCUCUUGCGUAAUUGGGAAACAUGAAAUACGUCAUGAACCCCUUGUAGGUGCGUUGGCAAUUCUAAUUUGUACGCCACCGUCCCUCUUCUUUUUAAGAUCCGAUAGGGACCAAUAUAUCGCGGGCUUAGUUUUCCUUGUACUCCAAAGCGCUUGACACCUUUAAUUGGUGAGACUUUUAAAUAAACAAAGUCUCCGGGUUGAUAUUGUAUAUCACGUCGUCUCUUGUCCGCAUAACCUUUUUGCCGGCUUUGCGCCGUCUUGGGCCGCUCUCCAAUUAUGCGAACUUUUUCCUCGGUCUCUUGGACCAAGUCGGGUGCUAAGAGUUUCUUUUCUCCGGUUUCCAUCCAACAUAUUGGGGUUCGACAUCUUCGACCGUAUAAGGCCUCAAAUGGGGACAUACCAAUACUAGCUUGGUAGCUAUUGUUAUAAGCGAAGUCUGCUAAGGGCAAGUGCUUGCUCCACGAGUCACCAAAAUCUAGCACACAAGCCCUUAGCAUGUCCUCUAUGAUUUGAUUCACCCUCUCGACUUGACCGCUAGUCUGGGGGUGGUAAGCGAUACUAAAAUCCAAUUUUGUUCCUAAUGCUUCUUGUAAUUUUUCCCAGAACUUGGAUGUAAACAUGGAUCCACGAUCUGACACUAUUCUAGAAGGUGUCCCAUGUAGAGCUACUAUCCUGUGGAUAUAUAGCUUAGCCAAUUUUUCUCUGGAACAACCCGGGGCUAAAGGGAUAAAAUGGGCAGAUUUAGUGAGUCGGUCAACUAUGACCCAUAUGAUCUCCUCUUGUUUUCUUGUUUUGGGCAGUCCGGUGAUAAAGUCCAUGUGGAUUCCUCCCAUUUCCAUUGCGGAAUUUGGAGAGGUUGCAACAAUCCUGGUGGUCGCUGGUGUUCUUCCUUUACUCUCUUACAAGUGUCACACUCAUCCACAUACUGAGCAAUUUCUCUUUUCAUAUUUCUCCACCAAAAUGUACCUUUGACAUCCCGGUACAUUUUUGUGCUACCAGGGUGUAUGGUGUAUGGUGUGUUGUGUGCCUCCUGGAGUAUUAUUUGCUUAAUAUCAAGGAUAUUUGGCACACAUAACCAAAGUGACGCGUCUUCUGCUAUUCGGAACUCUGAUGGUUGACCUUCUUGUAUUCUGCAUUUUUCCUCACAAAUGAACUCAUCUUUGGUUUGGUUUUCCUUGAUUUCGUCCAACAAAUUGGGUCUGAUUGUUAAUGUGGUUAGGAUUUUCUCAACCGGUUUAUGUAUGAAUUCAAUUCCCAUCAUUCCCAGCUCAUGUAUCAGAUGCUUAUCAUAGGUUCGGAUCUUGACAUGAUUGCAUGAGGUUUUUCGGCUAAGGGCAUCUGCCACCACAUUAGCUUUUCCUGGGUGGUAGUUGACACUAAGGUCAUAAUCCUUAGUGAGUUCUAACCAUCGUCUUUGUCUCAUAUUCAACUACUUUUGCGUGAAGAUAUACUUGAGGCUUUUAUGGUCCGUGUAUAGUUCACAACGGUUUCCAUAAAGGUAGUGCCUCCACAUCUUUAGCGCAAAUACCACGGCAGCUAACUCGAGGUCAUGGGUGGGGUAGCUUUGUUCAUGGGGCUUUAACUGUCGAGAGGCAUAGGCUAUGGCUCUCCCAUCUUGCAUUAGCACACAUCCCAAACCAACUCUAGAGGCAUCGCAAUAUACUGUGAAUGCUUUGCCUGGUUCGGGUAGAGCCAAUACAGGAGCGGUUGUGAGCCGUUUCUUUAACUCUUGAAAACUUUGCUCACACUUGUCAUUCCAAUCAAAUGGAACUCCCUUCCUUAGUAAUUUGUUCAUAGGGGCUGCUUUCUGGGAGAAGCCUUCUAUGAACCUUCGAUAAUAUCCAGCUAAACCAAGGAAGCUACGAAUCUCUGUUACGUUGGUUGGGGAUUUCCAUGCCAACACUGCAUCCACUUUAGCAGGAUCUACGGCUAUCCCUUUCCCUGAUAUAAUGUGUCCUAAGAAGGACACUUCUUCUAGCCAAAAUUCACACUUUUUGAAUUUGGCAUAGAGUUGUUUUUCUCUCAAGGUCUGUAGCACUAUCCGGAGGUGUUCAGCAUGUUCCUCAAUACUUCGAGAGUAUAUGAGGAUGUCAUCGAUGAACACUACCACAAACUUAUCUAAAUAGGGCAUGAGGACUAGGUUCAUCAGGUUCAUGAAAACUGCUGGUGCAUUGUGAGUCCGAAGGGAACAACCAAGAAUUCAUGGUGACCAUAUCGGGUUAUGAAAGCAGUCUUAGGUAUAUCUUCUUCCUUUACUUUUAGUUGGUGGUACCCUGACCGGAGAUCUAUUUUUGAGAACACGGUGGCUCCUUUCAAUUGGUCAAAUAGAUCAUCUAUCUGGGGUAGUGGGUACUUAUUCUUAAUUGUCGCCUCAUUCAAGGCUCGAUAAUCCACACAUAGCCUCAUACUUCCGUCCUUUUUCUUAACGAAUAAGACUGGUGCUGCCCAAGGUGACACACUUGGUCGAAUAAACCCCUUUUCUUCUAGUUCAUCCAAUUGUUUUCUUAAUUCCUUUAGUUCUUCCGCGGACAUACGGUAUGCUCGUUUUGAUAUGGGUGCCGUACCUGGGAUGAUAUCAAUAGUGAACUCUAUCUCCCUGUCUGGUGGCAUCCCGGGCAAUUCUUCCGGAAACACGUCCAAAAAUUCUUGUACCAUAGGCACAUAUUUAGCCUCCUUUUUGUCCAAAGUGGCUACUGAGGCUUGGUUUGAUUUCGCUCGGGUUCUUCUACUAUUAAAGGUUAUCCGUUUAUUUUCUGGGCUUCUCAAGGAUAUGGAUUUUUCUGCACAAUCCAUUCUUGCUCCAUGACUCGCUAACCAGUCCAUUCCAAGAAUAACAUCUAACCCUCUUAGGCCAAUGACAAAUAGGCUAGCAUUAAAGGUUAUGCCCUCAAUGCAAAUGGGACAGUUGUGGCAGACAUGCUCAACAAUUAUUGGGCCUCCCGGUGAAUCUACUUUUAUGGGUUUGGCUAGGGGGGUCCGGUCCAGAUUAUGCGUCUCAACAAAGCGUUGCGAUAUGAAAGAAUGUGUUGCUCCUGGGUCAAACAAUACUAGUCCUACUCCGGGAGGGAUUAGUAGGUUACCCGUCACUAUGUCUGAAGCCGACUCCACUUGUGCCACAUCCAUAUGUGCCAGACGGAAUGGUCCACGUGCAAGACUGCCACGACCACGCCCGCGGUUGGCAGUGGACGCACUCCCGUGUACUUGUGCUGAAUUAGCCUCGCGCUUAUUUUGAGGUGGGACAGCUCCAUUUGUGCUAGAUUGUGGUUGACCCUUGCUUGGGCACUGACUUUUGUAGUGUCCCUUUUGUCCACAACCAAAACAGACAACACUCGCCUUUGGGCAAUCUCGAGCCAAGUGUGGUCCACUGCACACGUGACAUUUGAUCGGGGCUCUCGGAGGCAUAAAAGGUGGUCUAGGAGCUUGACGGAAAGGAGGACGGACAGGCCCGACCAUUGGCACGCGGACUAGGCCAACAGGACGAUUCCCACUUCUCAUGGCAAACCUCGGGUCCAUACUAGCUUUCUUCCUUCGCUCUUCCUCUACGGCGAUUUGCCGGUUCUCGAUUGUAAUGACUCGGUCUACUAGCUCCCGAAACUCGGUGAUUUUUAUAGGAGCUAUAAUAAGUUGUAUGGACGGGUUCAAUCCUUCUACGAACCGGUACACCUUUUUGGUCUCAGUGUUUGUGUCCUCUGGUGCAUAGCGGGAUAGUGAGUUAAACUCAUCUAGGUACUCUGCGAUGGUCUUAGACCCUUGCUUGAGGUUCAGGAAUUCCUUCCUCUUUAUUUCCAUCGCACUUUGCGGGACGUAGUUAUCUCGAAAUCUCCUCUUAAAUUCGUCCCAUGUAACUAUGUGGUUUUCGGGUAUGAUAAUUUGGACAUUUCUCCACCAUGUGGCAGCAGGACCAAUUAACUGAUGUGAUGCAUACCGAACUUUUUCUUGGUCUGUGCGUCCCAUAGUGUUAAGUUUUAGCUCUAUGUCCAUCAACCAAUCAUCUGCGGCUAAUGGGUCUGUGGCGGUUGAAAAGGUUUGUGGUCUAGUCUUUUGGAAGUCUCCAAUUGUGACACCUUGUUCUGGGUUUUUAGUUAGUUGGCCUCUCAUCAUACCGAACAUCUGCUCCGUGAACUUAUUCUGGUGUUCUAGAGAGUCUUGACGAGACUGCUCCAUCCACUGAUACAUUAGAGCAAGUUGAUCGGAUCCCGGGCCAUGAUGGGCUAAUGGUGGAGGUGGAGGUAACGUCACUCUAGACGGCAAAUCUGCCAUGUUCCUUAGCGACUCGGGUGCUAAAUCCGAUGUGUUCCCGUUGUCUUCGAACGACUGACUACCAGAUGCCAUCGCUAUCGAUCUGGUGGGCAAGGCAUAGGUUAUAACGAUAGCUACUAUUUGUGAAAAAUAUUUUAUUUAUUUGAUUAGAGGUGAGAUUUUAGCUCAAACAGUACACUUCACGCUUCCUGUUUUGGAACAUCAAUUUAAACAGUGCACUUAACAGCGGCAUACUAGAAAAUUUUGCGAAACAUUUUUUUUGACUUGUUGUUGGCCGAAGAAAAAAAGUAGUCAAACAAAGUGAUUUUUUUAUCACGACAGAGGCAAGAGAUUAAUCACAAGUCAAAAAUAGAGCCACUUGCACAUGCACGUGCACACACAAGUUCUUCACGUACUGCAUUAAAAGCAUGCAAUCAUCAAGUGUCUGACAUACAUCAGUUGAACUCAUGAAGUGCUAGGAAAAUAGGUAGCAGCGUCAGCACAUAAUAUAUAUACUAGCCCAACACGUGAUGUACCAAAGGUAUGUACUUGAAUGAAGAGAUCACCAAAAAAAAAUUUCUUCCAUACAUUAGACGCCAUAAUGAGGCAUUCACUACAGGAAUCAGCUAUUUUGCCGUCUGCCACGGCGGACGGCAAAGGCAUGAACGGCGGACGGCAAAGACCUUUGCCGUCAGCCGCGGACGGCAAAAGGCUCCGGCAAAGUAGGCUACGGUAAACAGCUACUUUGUCGUCUGCUUCCUGGCGGCUGACGGCAAAGGCCCUUUGCCGUCUGCGGCGGACGGCAAAGAGAGGGGACGGCAAUAAUUGCGCUGUCAGUCCGUUAAGUGGCUAACGGCAGGCCUUUGCCGUCCGCCGCUGACUGCAAACUAUCUAGUGUCUUUGCCGUCUGCCGUAUGAUGUCAUCUACACGUCACUACAUGGCAGACCUUUGUCGUCCGCCACUGACGGCAAAGAGCCUCAAGCCUUUGCCGUCUGCCACUGUAGGCAAACUGACCAAAUGGGUCAGCUCCCAGGAAGCACAGCUGGAUGCCACGUGCCUUCUUUGCCGUCCGCAGCAGAUGGCAAAGAGCCCGUUGCCGUCGGUGGCAGACGGUAAAGAGCCUGCAUAAUGGCUCUUUUUCUGUUUUUUAUUAAAUCCAACAAUUUUCACAGCAAAUAUAUAUGACAUGUAUAGAUAUAUUUCAUAGGCAUUCAUAUCACAAAAUUCCAUCCAUAAACAAAGUUCCUUCAUACAUAAACAAAGUUCCAUCCAUAAACAAAGUUCCUUCAUACAUAAAUAAAGUUCCAUUCAUAUCACAAAGAGCCUUCAUACAUAAACAAAGUUUCAUCCAUACAUAAACAGGAAGACUAGAACAAGAAGAGUAGCUUCCAUGAAGUGAAUGAAAUCUGCAAAAUGGCAAAAUAAGAAAGUUAGAAAUAGGUGACUAGAACAAGAAGAGUAGAACAAGAAGAAGACUAGAACAAGAAGAGUAGAACAAGAAGAAGACUAGAACAAGAAGAGUAUGUCAUUUAUGAGCUAACUUACGUGAAAUGGAUCAUAUAUGAGCUAACUAAGUUGAAAUGGGUCGUUUAUGAGCUAGCUAAGGUGAAAUGGAUCAUUUAUGAGCUAACUUAGUUGAAAUGGGUCGUUUAUGAGCUAACUAAGGUCAAAUGGAUCGUUUUUUAGGUAACUAAGGUGAAAUGGAUCGUUUUUUAGCUAACUUAGGUGAAAUGGAUCAUUUAUGAGCUAACUUAGUUGAAAUGGAUCGUUUUUGAGCUAACUUAGGUGAAAUGGAUCAUUUAUGAGCUAAUUUAGUUGAAAUGGAUCUUUUUGAGCUAACUUAGGUGAAAUGGAUCAUUUAAGAGCUAAUUUAGGUGAAAUGGAUCGUUUUUUAGCUAACUUGGUGAAAUGGAUCGUUUAUGAGCUAAAUUAGUUGAAAUGGAUCGUUUAUGAGAUAACCUAGGUAAGAUGGGUCAUUUUGGAGUUAACCUAGGUGAAAUGGGUCAUUUUAAAGCUAACGUAGGUAAAAAUGGAUCAUUUAGGAGCUAAUCUAGGUAAAAUGGGUCAUUUUUGAGCUAACUUGGAUGAACUGGAUCAUUUAUAAGCUAACCUAGGUAAAAUGGGUCAUUUUAGAGCUAACUUAGGUAAAAUGGAUCGUCUAUGAGCUAACUAAGCUAAUUAUGCAAUUUUUUACAUAAGUAAGCUAAGUACAGAUCGUUUUAGAGCUAACUUAGAUAAAAUGGAUGGUUUUGGAGAUCAGUAAGCUUAUUAAGUCAUUUUGGAGGAGAAGAAGCUAAGUCUAGGUCAUUAUGGUAAGCAUUGGAGGAAAUAAAGCUAAGUCUAGGUCUUUAUGCAUGUGUUAAGCAAAACACUAGAUAAACUUACCAAGAGCCAGGAGGUGUAGGAGCGGGGUGGCUCGUGUCGGUAGCUGGAGAAGGAUCGCGCGAUGCUUGUCUGGAGUUACGCUGCACCAAAGAUCAUUUCCAAUGUCUUGUUAGCAUGAUGACACUCAAAUGUUAAGACUAGCAAGUAAUGUCCAUUCAAAUAAAACUCACCGUGGUCCCAGGAGCAAUCACUGGCAUUGGCGGAGCGGUCUGACCUGUCUUCUCGCACACAGACUGCACAUUUGGUUUUGACGACUCAGUCAUACUCGGGCUGACGAAUAACAGGGGAGGCACUGACGAAAUUUAUGCGUCGGAUCCGGAGCAAAGCAUAUGGGAAAAGGAACCCAAUCUAAACAUACUCGGGCUGUCCAUGGAUAGCGUUGGACAAUUCGAAAGAAUCAAGGUUAUAAAUAUGCAAAUGCAUGCAUAUUUAUAACUAUGACGCUUUCGAACGGGAGACACAUAUUGGUUACGCAUACUGAUGAUUCAAGACACAUAUAUAGCUAGCUAUCAAGUUUCAUCGGAAUAGAUCAAAUAUAAUGGGGGAGGAGGACAUGUCAUUUGUGCUCACCCACGAACGAAGGGGCAGAGCUUGUCAAACGCACAGCGAGGUCGUCGAACACCAAACCUCGCAGCGAUGAAACAACUGCACAUUAAAAACUACCCGAUCAACACAAUUAUAUAUGAUGUUUUUAUAACAAAAUCGAAAAAUAUAUGACCUAACUAAUAAUUCACAAAUAUAUGACCCGUCGGCCUCUGGAAGGCCAAAGAACACCUUUUCGGGAGGUGUCGGGAGUCGGGGUGUCGUGUCGGUGUCGGGGUGCCGUGUCGGGGUCGGGGUCNNNNNNNNNNNNNNNNNNNNNNNNNNNNNNNNNNNNNNNNNNNNNNNNNNNNNNNNNNNNNNNNNNNNNNNNNNNNNNNNNNNNNNNNNNNNNNNNNNNNNNNNNNNNNNNNNNNNNNNNNNNNNNNNNNNNNNNNNNNNNNNNNNNNNNNNNNNNNNNNNNNNNNNNNNNNNNNNNNNNNNNNNNNNNNNNNNNNNNNNNNNNNNNNNNNNNNNNNNNNNNNNNNNNNNNNNNNNNNNNNNNNNNNNNNNNNNNNNNNNNNNNNNNNNNNNNNNNNNNNNNNNNNNNNNNNNNNNNNNNNNNNNNNNNNUUCUUCUUCUUCUUCUUCUUUCUCCUCCUCCUCCUCCUCCUCUUCUUCUUCUUCUUCUCCUUCUUCUUCUUCUUCUUCUUCUUCUUCUUCUUCUUCUUCUUCUUCUCCUUUUUCCUCUUCUUCUUCUUUUCUUCUUUCUUCUUCUCCCUCCUCCUGUUCCUCCCUCCUCCUUCUACUUCUUCUAAACUAAAACUAAAACUAAUCUAAAAUAAACUAAACUAAAAUAAACUAAAAGUAAAAGUAAUCUAAAAUAAACUAAACUAAAACUAAAACUAAUCUAAAAUAAACUAAACUAAAACUAAAACUACACUAAAACUAUAACUAAAACAGAAACUAAACUAAAAGAAACAAAAAGAAACUAAUUAAACAAAAAAAGGGGGAGGAGCUCACCUGGUGGAGGGGGAGGCCGGACGGCUGCGGCGGCCGCUGGAGGAGGUGGCGACCCGGUGGAGGGGGAGGCCGGACGGCCGCGGCGCGGCUGCCCGACGUGGAAGAGGNNNNNNNNNNNNNNNNNNNNNNNNNNNNNNNNNNNNNNNNNNNNNNNNNNNNNNNNNNNNNNNNNNNNNNNNNNNNNNNNNNNNNNNNNNNNNNNNNNNNNNNNNNNNNNNNNNNNNNNNNNNNNNNNNNNNNNNNNNNNNNNNNNNNNNNNNNNNNNNNNNNNNNNNNNNNNNNNNNNNNNNNNNNNNNNNNNNNNNNNNNNNNNNNNNNNNNNNNNNNNNNNNNNNNNNNNNNNNNNNNNNNNNNNNNNNNNNNNNNNNNNNNNNNNNNNNNNNNNNNNNNNNNNNNNNNNNNNNNNNNNNNNNNNNNNNNNNNNNNNNNNNNNNNNNNNNNNNNNNNNNNNNNNNNNNNNNNNNNNNNNNNNNNNNNNNNNNNNNNNNNNNNNNNNNNNNNNNNNNNNNNNNNNNNNNNNNNNNNNNNNNNNNNNNNNNNNNNNNNNNNNNNNNNNNNNNNNNNNNNNNNNNNNNNNNNNNNNNNNNNNNNNNNNNNNNNNNNNNNNNNNNNNNNNNNNNNNNNNNNNNNNNNNNNNNNNNNNGUGGAGGUCGGGGGUCGCAGGGGAGGGGUGUGGGGCGGCGGGGUAGCCGGCUACGGGGUCGGCGGCGGCGGCGCGGGUGUGGGUGGGGACGAAUGAGAGAGUGGGGAGAAGAGACGGGGCGGGACGGCCGUUAACGUACCUGCCUCUUUGCCGUCAGCCAACGGUCGGCAAAGUUUCUUUGCCGUCCGCUUGCGGAUGGCAAAGAGGUGGGGCCGGUGGGGUUGAGUUGGUUAAACAAUAACUGGACCCACCCACCUCUUUGUCGUCUGCCAGCGGACGGCAAAGAGCACGCAGAUGGCAAAGAGCUUCUUUGCCGUCUGCCAUUUCUUUGCCGUCUGCUUUUGGGUAGCUGAUGGCAAAGAGCUUCUUUGCCGUCAGCUAGCAGACGGCAAAAAGCUGGCAGAUGGCAAAUUAGCUGAUUCCAAUAGUGAUUGGCAACAAUGUGGCAACAACAUCACAUACAGUAUUCCAUCAUUCAGAGCAAGGAGCAUAAAAAAACCAGAAUUUAAAAUGAAUAUGGAGGCAUGGCAUAUGCAUCAUACGAGAUCAUCUAGUAAUAGCAUAUCAGUACAUCCAUAAGUCCACCAGUCCACAUGGAUACAUCACAUAUCAUAGUAGCAACACCACACAUGACUCUGUGUCGCACAUCAUCAGGCUACCACGGCUAUCUACAUGUGUACCUGGAACAAAAGUAUACCUGCCGACCUAUCUGUCCGUCGGAACUAGUCUGGCUAACUACGGCUGUGCAAACUCUGGAAGGGUAGCUACGGCUACAAGACCUUUCCAGAUAUGUACAAAAUCCAAAAGGACAACCUCCAUGCACCUACCUAAACAUCUCAUAAGUGGGGGAACUAACUCUGGGAGGAGUAGCUAUCUAGCAUGAUGCUACAACCUUGCCAGAAUACUAACUACUACUACUGGUAGCACGUCAAUCCUCCCUGACAACCUGGUGGAGUGUGGGGAGUGUGCUCUGGAGGUGGUGGAAAUACAACGGAACUCAGAGUAGGAGCAACCUGAGAGGAAGGCUCGUCGGCGGCAAGAGACUCCUGGUCAAUCAGGUACCCUACCCGGCCUGGAGAGGCGGAAGGUGAGCUGUCAAUCUGAAGAGGGUUGAGGGCCAUACCCGGACGGGUGUAGUCCCUCAACGCAGUGGACAUCUCGCUGUUCGCCCGCUCAAGCUCGGAACAGCGACUCUGAAGAGUGUCAACCCGAUCUAAUAGGUCCUGAACAAGCUGAUGUGUAGGUGGACGCUCGUACGGUGUGGAGGGACGUGACACUGCACGAGAGGAGGAACCCCUGAUGACUCUAGGAGCUGGGUGGUCUGCACGAGUGGGUGGGACUGUCGGGUACAGAGGUGGACGAGCGGCACUCGAAGCUAGUGGUGGUAAAAACGUGGGAGGCAAGACAGGAGGACGUGGUGGAAGUGGAGGGAAAGCAGAAGUGGAUGCAAAAGGCGAAGGAGCGACAGUGGGCGGAGGUGCAGACGAAGUCCCUGCCUCCUCUAACUGAUGAGGCUACUCGCCUCUGCCCACGUACUCAAGGAGAGGGUGAUAGGCGUGGAAAAGGUGUAAAGCGGCAUCCCAUGCCGCACCCUGAAGUGCUGAAACAAAGUCGUAAUGCAACACUGAACCUAGAAGGGACAUCUAAGCCCUCAGGAAUGUGCACCGUGACUAAGUACCCCAUAGAACACGGGUCGUGAAACACUGUGUAGUAUGGUGCAAUCAACACACCCAGAAGACCAAGAAGCUCAACCAAGAACAGAGCAAAACCACCAUACUCAGCACCCGUACCAAACAACCUACCACUCGUCAUCCUACAUUGAGCAAUUAAGAAUUUAGUUAGUUAUAAUACGAUGCAAAAUUAAUUUACCUAGGACAGUAAAAAUAAAAACAUUUUUCUUGCACAAUUGUGUGGUCUAAAUUAUUUAAUCUUCACUUGACUUGAGUCAUUUUUUUUUAGAAAACUCAUAUUUUAUUUUAGGUAAAGAGGGAACCUAUGUUUCCUAGGGCUCGGACGGUCUCUAACUAAGUACAUGACUCUUUCCUUAACGGGGCUCUGAUACCACCUCUUCUGUGACGCCCCGUUACGUCCGACAGAGUCAGGCGUAACGGAAGCCAUCACUUCAGAGUUGCGCCAGGAUCAGUUAAGCAGAACAGUAUCAUGUACAAGACGGUGCAGCUCCCAUGAGUAGGCAAGCUUUUAUUACAUUGACACCUCAAGUGUCGACUAAGCCUAAGCGACCAUGACGAUAGAUCGUCAUCCACUUCUAGUUACGUGCCUUCUAAACCAACCAUGGAGGGCAUCUACUCUUCAUAGCCUUGAUUGUCGACUUCCUCAUAAACAUACUCCACUUCAGAAUAACCGAAGUCAUUAAGAUGACCAGAUUCAUCAUAAGUACCAUUCUCUAUCACCUCAGAGUUCUCAUAACUCUGUUGUUCUGAAAAACAACAUAAGUGCAGCUGAGUACGUAUAAAAUACGUACUCCCGCAAGUCGCCGGGAAAAGUGGAUGCAAGAGUCUUUAAAGAGGAAUAACUUUACCGGCCACGGCUACAACCACCGAGCCAUUAGCUCAGAAUACUUUGUAGGUAAAAAUAUUUUCCCUUAACCCAUUUUGUUGAAAACCAAAUUUUAUUUAUAAAAUCUACUGGCGACAGAGCGACGUGGGAUCUUACAUCCUGUGUCAGAGGAAAACCCACACGACGCACUUCCAAACCCAGAAGCUGGGAGUGAUAUCACAUUUACUCUGAUCAGAGGUGUACUGCUUUACCCAUAGCAUCACUUGGUCCAAGUCAUCCAUGCGCUACCCGUGCACACGACUAGACCAAGGAACCAGAACCUUUAACCAGCCCGUACACUACCUCUGCUUUUCCACCUUGCCUUACUAAAGGCCCGCGGGUCGAGACCCCUGACCGGCGGUCCCGCCCUAGGGUGACUGUACCUACCCGGCUACAGCCACCUUCUCCCCCAUGCAGAGGCAGCUACUUGGCAUGGGUAGUUGGUUCAGCCCGUCCCAUUCCAGGUCUAUGGUCUGUACGGUUUGCGCCGCUUUUGAAGUAAGCGCCAGUUGGUUGUGUCCUAAUGUGAUACCCUAUGUAGAGGAGCCCGCCAUCCAAGCCGACCCUCCCUGGAUUGCUUUCACCAACAUGAACUCCCCUACCCACGAAAUAUUUAUUUAUAUUGUAACCCUACCCGGGUCACAACUACUUAAUACAGAUGCUUCACCUGAUCUGGUCCAAUUGCCAAAUCAGUGGAUCCACCUGAUCCAAAUUUCAUUUUAUUUAUGAAAAAUAUUUAUUUAAAAUCUUAUGCAAAAUUUUGGAAAUGACCCAUAGCCCGGAAAACAUUUAUCAAGACAUGGUCAAGGAGAUGACGACUUGCCGGAUAGUGCUUCGACCAACUCGGAAUCACCGGGCGUGGCUCCUACGGAUCCGAGAUCGGCUCCUGAUAAUUAUUUCACAACCAUGUUUAUAUUUCCUAAUUUAAAAUCUAAAGAUCCAGCAACACAGCCAUGUUGGGCAAGCCAUAAUUAAUUAACUAGGUUGUGAUACGUCCUAGUGUUUCAUUGAGAGAUAAAAUGCAUCAAACCAUCCAAAUCAGAGUAGCAUGCACGUAUGCCAUCCAGUCUAGAGAGUAAAAAAAUGAUAAGUAAAAAGGAAACAGUAGCCUGCACUACUAGUACUUUACUCGUUGAACCCAGCUCGUUCCUCUCCUCGUCUUCUCUGCUAUCCCAAGAACAGAACCAGCCACCCACCUCUCUCUCUCCCCCCAAGAACAGAGCAUGGCCACCGCCGCCUCGAUCUGCCCCGUCCGGGCAUCUCCGGCGACACGGUGGACACCUACAGAUUCUCCUCGUCUCCCUCUACCAUUUCCCCCUAUUUCUUUUAUCCGCCGCCGCCAAAAACGUCGCCACCACUCAAUCCUGGUGCCGCCUGAUUCAGGUCCGGUGGGCUUGCCUCCGGCUGCAGCGGCAACGAUGUCUCCAUGCCUACAUCCUCCCCUAGCGCAGCCACACGCAUGAGGCGUGCAGCCACGGGCGUCGGGCGUGUGCGGCUUCACCGGCGCUGCUCGGUCGCAUGGCUCUGCUGCUAACGGUGUGGACUAGCCACAUCAUAUUGCUACUACUGGUAAGUACUAAUUCUGAUUCCUUCCCCAUAAGUGUUCCAAAUUUCACAUCGAGUGCCUGCUAGAUGUCAACGUGGGUGUGCAUAUAGUGUUCAUUUUAUCUCAGGCCCUACUAUUGCCCACUCAGCCAUAUUGCCUUCUUUCUCUUUGUUUAUCUCAAGGCCAUGAGAUUAAUCAAGAUUUAAUCUAUGGCGUGGUCAUGGUAUUGCUACUGAUUAGAUCUAAAUGAUGUUCCUAACUAGUGCUACUCAUCCUUGAACACCAUAUAGAAGCAAAUAGUGGCAGUGAAACUCCAAAAUUAAUUACUUGUGAGUAGAUUAUAAACAUCAAUCACUCAAUUUUUGCUACAGAUUGGCAGGGAUUAAUAAUUAGAACAAGGUAGUAUACACAGCAAGAUUGAUCUUUUGGAUACACACAUACAUGUCUUAGCAAGUUACUAGUACUUAGGAUUUGAUUCUUGGCAUGUUAGAUCUAGUACAAGCCAUAGAUGUCAUUCACAGAAACUUUUACAAGCUUUUGCAAUUGAUCUAAUUAGUUUUGAUUAACUUGGAUGUUUACGCAAACAUUUUGUUCUUUUUACAGCAAGAUAAAUAGAUCAAGGUGAAUAGAUGCUCAUGGACUAAUUCAAACCGAGGUGAAGAUAGACAAGAAGUCAAGCAAGAAGGGCUAACACAACAAAUUACUUGAUUAGUACCUGAUGGCGCAUGCGACCCAAAGGGCUUCACCGCAGUGAAGGACAGCAGUGUGGCAGAAGGUGAAAAGGCAAGCGGUGGUGGUACUCCAGUGUAUAUGUGUGUGUGAGGUGGAAUGGACCACAGUGAAAGGAAUGGCUCCUAUUUAUAGUGGGGUUAGUAGCUAUGUCGGUUUGGAGAGGCAUUACAUCUGGCAUGCAUGAGUGGUUAGGCUUGCAUGCAUGCCUCCACUUGUGUCUCUUGUAGGCUGUACUAGGGACAAGUGUAAUUUGCUUGACUGGCCAUUAGUUGGCAUUUACUUUAUGUGGAAAAAAAAUGAGACCAAGAUCUGAUUAUAAAUUUGUAGAAUACAUG